This 245-nucleotide ribosomal RNA is filed under the name uncultured bacterium. Its description in RNAcentral is "partial 16S ribosomal RNA". It matches the Rfam family "Bacterial small subunit ribosomal RNA", at positions 524 to 767 of the family's 1533-position model. The record is from RNAcentral.
UACGUAGGGGGCGAGCGUUGUCCGGAAUUAUUGGGCGUAAAGAGCUCGUAGGCGGCUUGGCAAGUCGGGUGUGAAACCUCCAGGCUCAACCUGGAGCCGCCACUCGAUACUGCCAUGGCUAGAGUCCGGUAGGGGACCAUGGAACUCCUGGUGUAGCGGUGAAAUGCGCAGAUAUCAGGAAGAACACCAGUGGCGAAGGCGGUGGUCUGGGCCGGAACUGACGCUGAGGAGCGAAAGCGUGGGGA